This 447-nucleotide ribosomal RNA is filed under the name Triticum aestivum (bread wheat). Its description in RNAcentral is "partial small subunit ribosomal RNA". Lineage: Eukaryota; Viridiplantae; Streptophyta; Magnoliopsida; Poales; Poaceae. The record is from RNAcentral.
AUGAGGCCCUUCCUCCUAAAGAAGCUGCACCAAAUAUUCUUGUUCCCGGGCCAGAAUGAAAAGGAUUAUAAAGAUCCAGAUAAUGACCCGGCAAUGAAGAAGAUAAACAAACACGCCAUGACCAAGUUUAGCGACGCGUUGGCCGCCUGGAAAUCAAGGCUGAAAUAUCGGACCGUCAACAAAAAGGAACCCUACUCCGAGAUUGUAAAGGAUACCGACAAUCACGGAAGAGCACUUUCAAAUAUUCAAGGCGGCUUGCGAGGCCGAAGCUGCCAAAAAAAAGUCGAAGUACAUGAAGGGGCUUCAACAGAGGAACAUUGGGUGCCACUACCUCGGAAGUCGUGGUUACAGCGGGAAGAGGUCCAUAUGGGCCAAGGAGGACGCGGAAGCCGCGAGUCUGGGCAUCCCAGACCCCUUGGCGGAGUUCACCGUCCCGCAGGAGUAUGA